ACGAAGGGGGCUAGCGUUGCUCGGAAUGACUGGGCGUAAAGGGCGCGUAGGCGGUUCGUACAGUCAGACGUGAAAUUCCCGGGCUCAACCUGGGGGCUGCGUUUGAUACGUACGGGCUUGAGUUCGGAAGAGGGUCGUGGAAUUCCCAGUGUAGAGGUGAAAUUCGUAGAUAUUGGGAAGAACACCGGUGGCGAAGGCGGCGACCUGGUCCGAUACUGACGCUGAGGCGCGAAAGCGUGGGGAGCAAACAGGAUUAGAUACCCUGGUAGUCCACGCCGUAAACGAUGUGUGCUGGAUGUUGGGCAGCCUAGCUGUUCAGUGUCGUAGCCAACGCGAUAAGCACACCGCCUGGGGAGUACGGCCGCAAGGUUG
Molecule: ribosomal RNA, 372 nt
Filed under: uncultured bacterium
Lineage: Bacteria
Description: bacterial SSU rRNA
Rfam family: Bacterial small subunit ribosomal RNA
Source: RNAcentral